UAAUUGCCAUUUUGGCCAAGUAUCCAUGAACAUAAUGCAUUUUUAGCAAAUUCACCUCACUUGAAUCUGAACUCAAUUAAAACCAAAUAUUGAAAUCACAAAUAAGAUCAUAAGAACUCGAAAAGCAUCUUAUUAACUAGUUUUAACCAUGUUUGCAACAAAAUCACAAAUUCACUACAAGCUCUCUUCCUAAGCAACAGUCACUAAAUUAUUUAUAACUGGAGCUAAGAAACUCCAAAUCAAGUGCCGUUAAUUUUCCCUGAAAAUAGGCUCAUAUAUAUUCCAUCCAUCAAAUUUUUAGAAUUUUUGGUUUGACCAAUCAAUACUAGAUUUUUAUUGAGGUUUCCCCUGUUUCACUAUUUGACUAAUCUGACCACUCUUCACUACGAAUCAAUUUUCUCAUUAUACAGAAUUCGAA
This 418-nucleotide long non-coding RNA is filed under the name Gossypium barbadense (sea-island cotton). Its description in RNAcentral is "long non-coding RNA (GBAR_LNC010853)". Lineage: Eukaryota; Viridiplantae; Streptophyta; Magnoliopsida; Malvales; Malvaceae. The record is from RNAcentral.